UGGGAACCUUCCCUAUGGUUCGGAAUAGCUCAGGGAAACUUGGGGUAAUACCGGAUAAGCCCUUCGGGGAAAGAUUUAUCGCCAUUGGAUGGGCCCGCGUCGGAUUAGCUAGUUGGUGAGGUAACGGCUCACCAUGGCAACGAUCCGUAGCUGGUCUGAGAGGAUGAUCAGCCACACUGGGACUGAGACACGGCCCAGACUCCUACGGGAGGCAG
This 215-nucleotide ribosomal RNA is filed under the name uncultured bacterium. RNAcentral describes it as "partial 16S ribosomal RNA". It matches the Rfam family "Bacterial small subunit ribosomal RNA", at positions 118 to 351 of the family's 1533-position model. The record is from RNAcentral.